UGGUGGAGUAAUUUGUGUGGUUAAUUCCGAUAACGAACGAGACCUUAUCCUACUAAAUAGUUACGGCGAUACUUUUGUAUCAGCGGGAACUUCUUAGAGAGCUAUCGGUGUUCAACCGGUGGAAGUUUGAGGCAAUAACA
This 140-nucleotide ribosomal RNA is filed under the name uncultured eukaryote. RNAcentral describes it as "partial 18S ribosomal RNA". It matches the Rfam family "Eukaryotic small subunit ribosomal RNA", at positions 1299 to 1458 of the family's 1831-position model. The record is from RNAcentral.